UAUGAAAUAAACUUGACUAUUGCUUAAAAGGUGAACGCCAAUCAAUGUUGUCAUGGUAGAAUUUAUUACUCAAAACUCAGAAAAAGAAAUGUCAUAUUUCUUUGGUCUGAAUCAAAUGAGAUUUGUUUUUUAUUCUGCACUCUCCAAGAUAGUGGGAAAUUCCAUCUCAUUCGUUUUUUUAAAAUUUUUAUUUUGUGUUCUGGGUUACAUGUGCAGGAUGUGCAGGUUUGUUACAUAGGUAAAAUGCACCAUGGUGGUUUGCUGCACCUAUCAACUCUUCACCUAGGUAUUUACAAGCCCGACAUACAUUAACUAUUUUUUCCUAAUGAGAGGUGACAACGUGCUAGCAGCCCUCGCUCACUCUCAGCACCUCCUGGGUCUUGGCGUCCACUCUGGCCAUGCUUCAGGAGCCCUUCAGCCCACCGCUGCAGUGUGGGGGCCCCUCUCUGGGGCUGGCCAAGGCCAGAGCCAGCUCCCUCUUCUUGCGGGGAGGUGCGGAGGGAGAGGCUCGGGCAGGAGUCGGGGCUGCGGGUGCAGGUUCCGAGUGGGCACAGGCUCGGUGGGCCCCUCAGUGCGGCCAGCCAGCACCUGCUGGGCUUGAUCGGGGGACAAGCUCCCUCUGGGCUGCUGGACUGCCUGGCUAGGUGCGACAAAGUCCCAUGGUGAGUGCCACUGAGAAGUGAAGCAGGCUGGGCUUCUGGGUCGGGAGGGGACUUGGAGAACUUUUCUGUCUAGCUAAAGGUUUGUAAAUGCACCAAUCAGCACUGUGUUUCUAGCUAAAGGGUAGGGGACUUGCAGAACUUUUGUGUCUAGCUAAAGGAUUGUAAACGCACCAAUCAGCACUCUGUGUCUAGCUAAAGGUUUGUAAAUGCACCAAUCAGUGCUCUGUCAAAAUGGACCAAUCAGCUCUCUGUAAAUGGACCAAUCAGCUCUCUGUAAAAUGGACCAAUCAGUAGGAUGUGGGUGGGGCCAGAUAAGGGAAUAAAAGCAGGCCACCCUAGCCUGCAGCGGCAAACCAUUCCAGGCCCCUUUCACGCAUUGGAAGAUUUGUUCUUUCAGUUUUCUCAAUAAAUCUUGCUGCUCCUCACUCUUUGGGUCUGUGCCACCUUUAUGAGCUGUUAACACUCACCACGAAGGUCUGCAGCUUCACUCCUGAAGCCAGCGAGACCACAAACCCACGGGGAGGGACAAACAACUCUGGAGGGGAGGAAUGAACAACUCCAGAUGCACCACCUUUAUGAACUGUAACACUCACCAUGAAGGUCUGCAGCUUCACUCCUGAGGCCAAUGAGACCACAAAUCCAUGGGAAGGAAUGAACAACUCCAGACAUGCCACCUUUAAGAGCUUUAAUACUCACUGCGAAGGUCUGCUGCUUCACCCCUGAAGUCAGCGAGACCAUGAACCCACCAGAAGGAAAAAACUCCUGACGCAUCUGAACAUCAGAAGGAAUGAACUCCGGACACACCAUCUUUAAGAACUCUAACACUCACCAUGAGGUCUGCGGCUUCAUUCUUGAAGUCAGCGAGACCAAGAACCCACCAAAUUUGGUGACCCAGGUGGGAUUAUCGCCUAUCACCAAGCGGUGAGACCAUCGCUAAGUGGUGAGAACAUCGCCUAUCGCUAAGCGGUGAGACUAUCGCCUAUUGCCAAGCGGUGAGUACCACUGGACCCCUUUCGCUUGCUAUUCUGUCCUAUUUUUUCCUUAGAAUUGGGGGGCUAAAUACUGGGCACCUGUUAGCCAGUUAAAAGCAACUAGUGCGGCCACUGGACUAAAGACACGAGUGUCAGGCUUUCUGGGAAAGGGCUCUCUAACAACCCCCAACUCUUCGGAGUUGGGAGCGUUGGUUUGCCUGGAACCAUCUUCCACUUUUCCUGUACUUCCGGGCUGAGGCGAGGGUCAACAGAGAGGAAAGCCGUUCAGCUCUGGGGUCCUGAGAACAAGUUGGUUGACUCUGCAGCCGUGAGCGGAACUCUCACAGGCAUGUUGCCCAAGUGAGACUUGCCCAUCUAUUCUAUCUACCCUGACCCUCCUAGGUCCUAAUGCAUGUCAGGCAAACUUCCUCUCACUUCUCUUUCCCGAGGCUAGUCCUGCUUCUAAAAAUCACUCCCUGUCUCUGGUGCUUUUCUAGUUUCUCCUAUAAGAAUGAUUUCUAGUAUAAAUUCCAGGACUUUGUUACCUUCUUUAGGUGCUUGGGUUCACUAAUCAGAAAGACAUAAUUUUUCCCAAAGCACCAUUGUAGUGGGGACGAUCUGGAAUUUUAGUAUCCCUUCUCAGACUAGCAGGCCUAGCAAAAGCUAUUCCUGAAGCUAGGAUAUGGGGAGCCUCGGAAAUUGUAUCAUUCCUAUUCAUAUAAGUGAGGACAAAAGGUGUCACUCUUCCAACCCUGGAGAACCCUAUCCUCCCACAGGGUAUGGCCCUCCACUUCAUUUUUGGGGCAUAACAUCUUUAUAGGUCAGGGGUAAGGUCCCAGUAGUAACAGGAGAAUGCUUAGGACUCUAACAGGUUUUUGAGAAUGCGUCAGUAAGGGCCACUAAAUCUGACCUUCCUCAAUCCUCCUUGUGGUCUGGGAGGAAAACUAGUGUUUUUGCUGCUGCAUUGGUAAGCACAACUAUUCUGAUCAGCAGGGUCCAGGGACCAUUGCGGGUUCUUGGGCAGGGGUUGUUUCUGCUGCUGUGUUGGUGGGCGCAACUAUUCUGAUCAGCAGGGUCCAGGGACUGUUGUGGGUUCUUGGGCAGGGGGAGAAACAAAACAAAUCAAAACCGUGGGCAGUUUUGUCUUUCAGAUGGGAAACACUGAAGCAUCAACAGGCUCACCCUUGAAAUGCAUCCUAAGCCAUUGGGACCAAUUUGAUCUACAAACCCUGAAAAAGAGGUGGCUCAUUUUUUUCUGCACUAUAGCCUGACCCCAAUAUUCUCUCUCUGAUGGGGAAAAAUGGCCACCUGAGGGAAGUACAAAUUACAAUAUUAUCCUGCAGCUUGACCUUUUCUGUAAGAGGGAAGGCAAAUGGAGUGAAAUACCUUAUGUCCUAGCUUUCUUUUCAUUGAAGGAUAAUACACAACUUUGCAAAGCUUGCAAUUUACAUCCCACAGGAGGACCUCUCAGCUUACCCCCAUAUCCUAUCCUACCUAUAGCUCCCCUUCCUAUUAAUGAUAAGCCUCCUCUAAUCUCCCCUACCAAGAAGGAAAUAAGCAAAGAAAUCACCAAAGGACCAUAAACCCCCCCACCCUGGGCUAUUGGAUAUGUCCUCUUCAAGCUGUAGGGGGUGGGGAAUUUGGCCCAACUUGGGUACAUGUCCCCUUCUCCCUCUCUAAUUUAAAGCAGAUCAAGGCACACCUGGGGAAGUUUUCAGAUGAUCCUGAUAGGUAUGUCCUACAGGGUCUAGGGCAAACCUUUGACCUCACUUGGAAAGGUAUCAUGCUACUGUUAGAUCAAACCCUGGCCUUUAAUGAAAAGAAUGUGGCUUUAGCUGUAGCCUGAGAGUUUGGAGAUACCUGGUAUCUUAGUCAAGUGAAUGAUAGAAUGACAACUGAAGAAAGGGACAAAUUCCCUUCCGGUCAGCAAGCUCUCCCUAGUAUGGAUCCCCACUGGGACCUCAACUCAGAUCAUGGGGAAUGGAGUUGUAAACAUCUGUUGACCUGUGUUCUAGAAGGACUAAGGAGAAUUAUGAAAAAGCCCAGGAAUUAUUCAGUGAUGUCCACCAUAACUCAGGGAAAGGAAGAAAAUCCUUCUGCCUUCCUCAAGUGGUUACAGGAGGCCUUGAGAAAAUAUACUCCCCUGUCACCCAAAUUGCUUGAGGGUCAAUUGAUUCUAAAAGAUAAGUUUAUUACCCAAUCAGCCGCAGCUAUCAGGAGAAAGCUCCAAAAGCAAACCCUCAGCCCUGAACAAAAUUUGGAGGCACUAUUAAACUUGGCAAUCUUGGUGUUCUAUGAUAGGGACCAAAAGGAACAGGCCCAAAAGGAAAAGCAAAAUCAGAGAAAGGCUGCAGCCUUAGUCAUGGCUCUCAGACGAACAAACCUUGGUGGUUCAGAGAGGACAGAAAAUGGAGCAGGCCAAUCAUCCAGUAGGGCUUGUUAUCAGUGUGGUUUACAAGGACACUUUAAAAAUGAUUGUCCAACGAGAAACAAGCUGCCCCCUUGUCCAUGUCCACUAUGCCGAGGCAAUCACUGGAAGGUGCUGCCCCAGAAGAGAAAGGUUCUCUGGGUCAGAAGCCCCCAACCAGAUGAUCCAACAACAGGACUGAGGGUGCCUGGGGCAAGUGCCAGCUCAUGUCAUCACCCUUACUGAGCCCCGGGUACAUUUAACCAUUGAGGGCCAGGAAAUCGACUUCCUCCUGGACACUGGUGCAGCAUUCUCAGUGUUAAUCUCCUGUCCUGGAAGACUGUCCUCAAGGUCCGUUACCAUCUGAGGAAUGGUACAGAAAUACCUGUAACCAGGUAUUUCUCCCACCUCCUCAGUUGUAAUUGGGAGACUUUGCUCUUUUCACAUGCCUUUCUUGUUAUGCCUGAAAGUCCCACACCCUUAUUAGGUAGGAAUAUAUUAGCCAAAGCUGGAGCUAUUAUCUACAGAAUAUGGGGAAUGAGUUACCCAUUUGCUGUCCCCUACUUGAGGAGGGAAUCAACCAACAGUUUAAAAAUUGAUCUGUUCAUUCAUGUUUUAAGGUUCUUCCUUUUAUUUUCAGAGGCUCUACUGGAAUGUGUCAGGAAAGUGAAAAGUCUCUGGUUGUUAGUCUGCAAUGGCCAUACAGGUAGUUCUUCAAUCAAGACUACAUUGAACAAGGAUGGUGAUGCAGCUUAUACAGCAGAAAACACUGUUGGUGCUGAAAUAGUUCAUAGAAGAGAAUGACUAUAGAUCACUUAAUUAAGGCAAACAUUUACAGAGAUAUACACUUUGAUCAAGUAUGCCUCAGAAACCUUCAGGACUUGAUACCAGUGUUAAAAAGAUAAUUUUGGAAUAUUUCUAAAUAUUUCCUGAAAUCAACAAGAUCAUGGAAAAAUAUCUUUCAUUAAAGUGGUAAGUUGUUACACUAUAUCCGAUAUAAAACCUGGUUUUCCAUCCCUGACUUGGAUAUAUUUCUUUUUCCCCUCCUUAUUUCUCUUGUCGACACCAUCUUGAUGCUGUGUAAAAGGCAAAUGAAAAUGCACAAUCUACUGUAAUCGAACUUCAUUAUUGAUUCCUUUACAAAAACCUUAUUUGGGAGAAGUAUUAUGGAAAUUUAAAAGCAUAUAUGAUCGACCCUGACACUGUGGGAACUUUCAAUUCAACUUUUCAAUCAAAAAAUGACCUGGGUUAUUCAAUUUUUGAAUCGAAAUAAGUAUAGACAUAUAAAAUUUUAUAUCUGCAAGUUAUACUAUAAAGCCAUGUGCUCCAAUUAUAUAAUUUCAUACAUGAGAAAACAUAUAUAAACCACACAAAAGCAUAAUUUUAAGUUCUAGCAGAGCUGCAAAUUGAACUAGGAACUGAUAAUUUCAGGUUGUCCAUUUAGAGUUGGGUAGAAUCAACUAAAGGACGCUUCUUGCAGGAAGGUAAUUUUCUUACUGAAGUGAAAUCUCUGUACAAGACAAUGAUAAAUGUACAAUAUGUAGAGUUUGACAAAUGUGUAUGUUUAUGUAACAAGUAUUUCAGUCUAGGUAGAGCAUUCCCAUUCUGGAAGAUUUUCUAGUGCUCCGUAGAAAACCACCAUUCUGCUUUUUCUUACUGUACUUAAGUUUUGCCUGCUCUUGUACUGUAUAAAUGAAAUUAUAUAGUAUCUACUCCUUUGUGUCUGGAUUUUUGAUCAAUAUAUUGGGUUUGAAAUUCAUUUAUGUUCUUAGUAUUUCAUUUGUUUAUUCAUAUUCUUAUUGAUAAACAUUUGAGAGUUUUUAAUUAUUGGCAACAUAAGGUAAGUGCCUUGCCUAUAGAGUUGAUGCAUAUUUAACUUUAUAAGAAAGUGCCAAACAGUUUUUCAAAGUGCCUUUACCAUUUUAAUUUCUUAUUUGCAAUGAAUGAGUCUCCACUUACUCCCUAUUCUUACCAAUACUUGGUGUUGUGGGCCUUUUUGAUUUUAGCUAUAAUAGUGAGUGUGAAAUAGUAUCAUAUUAUAGUUUAAUUUGGGUUUUCCUGUCAACAGAGUUCAAGAACCUUUUAAUGUUCUUAUUAAUAAUUUGGAUAUUUUCUUUUGUCAGGUUAUCUGUUCAAAUGUUUUACCCAUUUAAAACAUUGGCCUGUGUUU
Gorilla gorilla gorilla (western lowland gorilla) is the source of this 6210-nucleotide long non-coding RNA. RefSeq lists it as uncharacterized. The transcript is spliced from 3 exons. The record is from RefSeq and is a predicted model, not a curated record. NCBI's taxonomy places the organism in Eukaryota, Metazoa, Chordata, Mammalia, Primates, Hominidae.